CGUAGGGUGCGAGCGUUAAUCGGAGUUACUGGGCGUAAAGCGUGCGCAGGCGGUUUUGUAAGACAGAUGUGAAAUCCCCGGGCUCAACCUGGGACCUGCAUUUGUGACUGCAAGGCUAGAGUACGGUAGAGGGGGAUGGAAUUCCGCGUGUAGCAGUGAAAUGCGUAGAUAUGCGGAGGAACACCGAUGGCGAAGGCAAUCCCCUGGACCUGUACUGACGCUCAUGCACGAAAGCGUGGGGAGCAAACAGGAUUAGAUACCCUGGUAGUCCACGCCCUAAACGAUGUCAACUGGUUGUUGGGUCUUUACUGACUCAGUAACGAAGCUAACGCGUGAAGUUGACCGCCUGGGGAGUACGGCCGCAAGGUUG
Molecule: ribosomal RNA, 370 nt
Filed under: uncultured organism
Description: bacterial SSU rRNA
Rfam family: Bacterial small subunit ribosomal RNA
Source: RNAcentral